RNAcentral lists this ribosomal RNA (189 nucleotides) under Panthera onca (jaguar). RNAcentral describes it as "partial 12S ribosomal RNA". Lineage: Eukaryota; Metazoa; Chordata; Mammalia; Carnivora; Felidae. The record is from RNAcentral.
GCUUAAAACUCAAAGGACUUGGCGGUGCUUUAUAUCCCUCUAGAGGAGCCUGUUCUAUAAUCGAUAAACCCCGAUAAACCUCACCAUCUCUUGCUAAUUCAGCCUAUAUACCGCCAUCUUCAGCAAACCCUAAAAAGGAAGAAAAGUAAGCACAAGUAUCUUGACACAAAAAAGUUAGGUCAAGGUGUA